AGGACGAACGCUGGCGGCGUGCUUAACACAUGCAAGUCGAGCGGAAAGGCCCUUCGGGGUACUCGAGCGGCGAACGGGUGAGUAACACGUGAGUAAUCUGCCCCUAGCUCUGGGAUAGCUCCGGGAAACCGGGAUUAAUACCGGAUACGACCACCUUAGACAUCUUUUGUGGUGGAAAGAAUUUCGGCUAGGGAUGAGCUCGCGGCCUAUCAGCUUGUUGGUGGGUAACGGCCUACCAAGGCGACGACGGGUAGCCGGCCUGAGAGGGCGACCGGCCACACUGGGACUGAGACACGGCCCAGACUCCUACGGGAGGCAGCAGUGGGAAGUAUUGCGCAAUGGGCGAAAGCCUGACGCAGCGACGCCGCGUGGGGGAUGAAGGCCUUCGGGUUGUAAACCCUUUCAGCAGGGACGAAGCGAAAGUGACGGUACCUGCAGAAGAAGCGCCGGCUAACUACGCGCCAGCAGCCGC
Molecule: ribosomal RNA, 472 nt
Filed under: uncultured bacterium
Lineage: Bacteria
Description: SSU rRNA
Rfam family: Bacterial small subunit ribosomal RNA
Source: RNAcentral